This is a long non-coding RNA of Papaver somniferum (opium poppy), 2419 nucleotides long. RefSeq lists it as uncharacterized. The transcript has 2 exons. The record is from RefSeq and is a predicted model, not a curated record. NCBI's taxonomy places the organism in Eukaryota, Viridiplantae, Streptophyta, Magnoliopsida, Ranunculales, Papaveraceae.
UUCCUGCCUUUAUUAUCACUUCUUUCUCAGAUCUCUCUCUUCAUCUCAGUUCCUAUUCAUCAACAAGUGAAAACCCAAAUACUUUCUCAGAUCUCUCUCUACAUCUCAGUUCCUAUUCCUAAACGAGUGAAAACCCAAAUAAAAAUCUCAAUCUCGGUUUCUCUUCGUCUUCUCUUGUCUUUGUUAUACUCAGAUUCAUCAUUGAAACCCUCUAUGAAAACUCUGCACUUGUUUACAUCGAUUAAGAUUUGAAUCACCAGUUGCAAUCUGAAAAUACUGUUGGUAAUGCAAGAGCAGGAUCAAAUAAUUUUAAAUCAGAUGUUUUAUGACCUUUUAGAUUCAACUCAAGACUUUUAAUACGAGUUGUUGAAUCUUUUGAAUCUAACAAUUAAGCUACUGAACAAGAUGUUGAAGGAGGAGAAAUUAGUAUUAUUAUAGAUCAAAAUCUAAGAAGUUAAGAUAUCUAUCUGUAAAGGGAAUCCUUAAAAAGUCCAGUUUGGAUGGUGGUGAAAAGAUUAACAACUCCCAACAACUUCCAAGUAUUCAAGCAUUAUUGAUUCAUAUGAUUUCAAUUUCUUAAAUUAGGGUUUAUUUAAUCUUAACAGUUUUUGCUUAUUUGAAGUUGAAAUACAUGGAUUUGGAUAUUUUUUAAUUGAUUUUAAUUGUGUAUAUUGUCACUGGUAAUUCAAUUUUGGUAUUGGUUAUUUUCCGUUUUUCUCAUCUUUUCAGUUAUGGAAUUACUUGAAUGGAUGAAAGUUGCUUGUAAGGGGUUCUCCUGGCAUUUAUGUGUACUUUAUAUUUUUCUUGUUGUUGAUGUGUGAUUAUGCUCCAAUGGUGGUAUAUAUUGUUUCAUCUGUGGUCUGUUUGAUGGUUGCUCUCAUUUUUGAAAAGUUAGUCUUUGAAUUGUAUUGUUUGGAUGUUAGGUUCUUUAAGGAAGCUAGUGUGGAAGAAUGAGAAGAUGCUGAGAUACUUAACCGAAUAUCAGUUGUUUGUUUAAUUACUUAAGUUGGAAUAUUUUUUUGUAAGAUUAUUAUGUUUUCGGUUAAGAUUUAGCUAAUGAAUGAUGUUGUUUUUCUAAUUGUUAGAAUAAAAAAGGGGGUAAAGUCAAGCUACAAUCUAUGUUGAUACCAUGUCUGAAUCCGAGCACCUGAGAAAGGGAAAGCGUUGUAUGGUAACUUCUCAUUAUCAAAUUCAUAUAUAUGUUCCAAAUGUUUUUUUUUCUUUCCAUGUUGUACUUGAACUUAGCUUAUAUAUACUUAGUGCUAUUUGUAUCCUUGUACGAUCAAUGAUUAGUAAUGAGUGUGGACAAUUUUUUUGACUCAGCUGUGUGGCUUGGUUAUCAUGUUUGUUUACAUCUUCCAGUAGUUUGAUACUACUUGUCGAGAUGAUAGGCCCCCAUGUUUACUCUCUUUAUCUCUUAAUUAUUAUUUCUAUGUAGAUUUAGUUUCUUACGCUAGGUAGUAAGAUACGACAAAUGAGAAUACAUUUUCUUCCAUUGAUGAAUAGGGGUUCAAUAUUGUGCCUUCCUAAAGCAGGUGAAAUUUGUUCAAUUGGUAGUAUUUUAGGCAUCCAGUUCCAGCAUAAGAAAGAGUAGCUUUAUGCUAAAGAUUUUUUGUACCAUUUGAGGAUUAUGUGUUUUAUAUAACCAAUCAUAAGAAAGAGUAGCAUUUCUGGCUCAAGUGCAGAUUGUCAGCUAAUCUAUGUUUUUUGUGGGAGGAUCUGUCUUCUGCUCUAACAGAAGACAUAGUUCCUUCCUGUUGUAUUUUGUUUCCAUUUAAGUUAUAUUACUUCUUUUUGUUCUCUUGCCCUCGAUGUAUAAUACUGUAAGUGCUAAUACUAUAAGUUCAAUAUUAGUGACUGUAUCUAUAUCCUUUUUGAUGACCAUUUCAGUUGAUCAUAAUCAUGAUUCAUGUCUAGGUUAUGAAAUUUCUGUUGGUGAUUUUCAUGUUUAUUUUUCAGUUUCCAUGGUUUGGUUAGUUUAGUUUCUCUUCAUAAGGUAUCUUUCCUCGGCUUUGUUCAUUUGAAUAUUUUUCAGGUUAGAUUUUUUAUUCGUGUGCUGUCAAUCAUUUGAAUAAGUUCUUGUUAUAGGAUUGUAGGAUUUAUGUAAAUGGUUAAAUUGAUUCGUUUAUGUUGUCUCUCAUGUGAGAUGUACAGGUAAUCAUGGUUUACAUGCUAACAAACCCGAGUGACACGGAAACUUGAAUUUUCAUUAACAUCUUUCAUACAAAUACAGAGGCUGAGCUUGCUGGGUGCUUAAUGGUCCUGAUUAGAGACAAUUUGUUAACUUAGUGUAGAUUUUCUGGUUUGUUAGCUUGUAACAAGAAUAUGAAAUUAAGUAGAUGAAGUUUUGAGAUUUGGAAAAAGUAUUUUAGACUGUUGGCGCUUUUUAAUACAAAUUUCGUAUUGAUUUUACUGUCAA